GGGUGACACUGCCGGGUGCAGGGCACGGCUGUGGGCUCUGCCCUCCACCUCCAUUUUCUCCCGUUGCCACCGAAGUGACCAUUUUCCGCCUUGGUUCCAAGCCGUGAGCGCAGCGCUGCUCUCACCCCCAGCUGGACACAGGGAAGAGGAGGAAUGCAACCAGGCAGGUUUGUGCAAACACAGGCACUGCGUGGUCCCUCUCGGUCUUUAGUCUGUUCAGCACUGCCUACAAACUGCCCUGACGAAGUGGAAAAUGCAGUCACCGGUGCUGGGUCUCAUCCGGUGCUGCUUCCCCUCCCUGUGCAGCACCUGGCGGGCCCCCGCUCCCCGCCUGCUCACAGAGCCCAGGUGAAAACCAGCGGUCUGAGGCUCUGUGCUGGCAGGGAGGAGCGAGCAGAUGGUGCCCUAAAAUCGCCGUGCCCCGACGAGUGAGAUACUGAUCGUUUCCGAAGCUCUCGAGAUAUUUUUUCCAGCUCCUGCUGAGCCUGGCGAGCGCCGUAAUUGCAGCUUGGACUGGCUGGAGAGGGCAAUACCCGGAUGGGCUCCCUGCCUUCCCCGCUGUAAUUGGGCCCUGGUGAUACAAAGCACAAAGCUCUUUCCUUCCUGUUUGCUGCUCUCCCUCUGUGAAACCUUCCCCUGCCUGUGCUGUGCAUGCUGGAAAAUAUGUAAAUACCAGGGCACAGGAGAAUGACUCCCUCGUGCCUGCGCCGCGUCUGAAAUCCCCAUUAAAAAUAUAUGUUCCAAAAAGAGCACCUCUGCACCAAAGCAGAAGCUCUCCCGGCAAUGAGGGGC
This 792-nucleotide long non-coding RNA is filed under the name Gallus gallus (chicken). RNAcentral's name for it is "lncRNA (ENSGALG00010012710.1)". The record is from RNAcentral. Lineage: Eukaryota; Metazoa; Chordata; Aves; Galliformes; Phasianidae.